Molecule: ribosomal RNA, 429 nt
Filed under: uncultured Methylibium sp.
Lineage: Bacteria; Pseudomonadati; Pseudomonadota; Betaproteobacteria; Burkholderiales; Sphaerotilaceae
Description: bacterial SSU rRNA
Rfam family: Bacterial small subunit ribosomal RNA
Source: RNAcentral
UGGGGAAUUUUGGACAAUGGGCGCAAGCCUGAUCCAGCCAUGCCGCGUGCGGGAAGAAGGCCUUCGGGUUGUAAACCGCUUUUGUCAGGGAAGAAACAGUUCGUAUUAAUACUAUGGACUAAUGACGGUACCUGAAGAAUAAGCACCGGCUAACUACGUGCCAGCAGCCGCGGUAAUACGUAGGGUGCAAGCGUUAAUCGGAAUUACUGGGCGUAAAGCGUGCGCAGGCGGCUUUGCAAGACAGAUGUGAAAUCCCCGGGCUCAACCUGGGAACUGCAUUUGUGACUGCAUCGCUAGAGUGCGGCAGAGGGGGAUGGAAUUCCGCGUGUAGCAGUGAAAUGCGUAGAUAUGCGGAGGAACACCGAUGGCGAAGGCAAUCCCCUGGGCCUGCACUGACGCUCAUGCACGAAAGCGUGGGGAGCAAACAGG